UCCUACGGGGGGCAGCAGUAGGGAAUUUUCGUCAAUGGGCGCAAGCCUGAACGAGCAAUGCCGCGUGAACGAGGAAGGUCUUCGGAUCGUAAAGUUCUGUUGAAGGGGAAAAAGAGCGGAGAGAGGAAAUGGUCUCCGAUUGAUAUUACCCUUCGAGGAAGUCACGGCUAACUACGUGCCAGCAGCCGCGGUAAUACGUAGGUGGCGAGCGUUAUCCGGAAUGAUUGGGCGUAAAGGGUGCGUAGGCGGCCUGCUAAGUCUGGAGUGAAAUGUACCGGCUCAACCGGUACAGGCUCUGGAAACUG
This 305-nucleotide ribosomal RNA is filed under the name uncultured bacterium. RNAcentral describes it as "bacterial SSU rRNA". It matches the Rfam family "Bacterial small subunit ribosomal RNA", at positions 337 to 635 of the family's 1533-position model. The record is from RNAcentral.